Long non-coding RNA from Mus musculus (house mouse), 293 nucleotides. RefSeq annotates it as predicted gene, 34819. The record is from RefSeq and is a predicted model, not a curated record. The transcript is spliced from 3 exons. NCBI's taxonomy places the organism in Eukaryota, Metazoa, Chordata, Mammalia, Rodentia, Muridae.
UAAGAAGAAGGCUGCAAAAACACACCCGGAGAAGUUAGCGAAAUGCUUUUCUGGAGAAGAUAUUGUCUCUCAGAGGCAUCUGUAUUUUUGAAGUGGCCUGCAUCACAGAAAUUCCCCAUGGACUUGCCAUUGUUGAAGCAGAAUUUGGCAGCUCAGCUCUGCUCUCUCCGUUGAUCCCAGCACAACCCCACAACCCCCUCAAGAGAUUCAGUGCAGUUGCCACCACAUUGACUCUAUUUUGACACGCAGACAUCCAGGCUUGUAAUUCAGUGAAGGAAGAUUCCUCCCAGGGU